GACGAACGCUGGCGGCGUGCCUAAUACAUGCAAGUUGAGCGCUGAAGGUUGGUACUUGUACCCACUGGAUGAGCAGCGAACGGGUGAGUAACGCGUGGGGAAUCUGCCUUUGAGCGGGGGACAACAUUUGGAAACGAAUGCUAAUACCGCAUAAAAACUUUAAACACAAGUUUUAAGUUUGAAAGAUGCAAUUGCAUCACUCAAAGAUGAUCCCGCGUUGUAUUAGCUAGUUGGUGAGGUAAAGGCUCACCAAGGCGAUGAUACAUAGCCGACCUGAGAGGGUGAUCGGCCACAUUGGGACUGAGACACGGCCCAAACUCCUACGGGAGGCAGCAGUAGGGAAUCUUCGGCAAUGGACGAAAGUCUGACCGAGCAACGCCGCGUGAGUGAAGAAGGGUUUCGGAUCGUAAAACUCUGCUGGUAGAGAAGAACGUUGGUGAGAGUGGAAAGCUCAUCAAGUGACGGUAACUACCCAGAAAGGGACGGCUAACUACGUG
This 497-nucleotide ribosomal RNA is filed under the name uncultured bacterium. RNAcentral describes it as "partial 16S ribosomal RNA". It matches the Rfam family "Bacterial small subunit ribosomal RNA", at positions 28 to 507 of the family's 1533-position model. The record is from RNAcentral.